Molecule: ribosomal RNA, 436 nt
Filed under: uncultured bacterium
Lineage: Bacteria
Description: bacterial SSU rRNA
Rfam family: Bacterial small subunit ribosomal RNA
Source: RNAcentral
GACGAACGCUGGCGGCGUGCCUAACACAUGCAAGUCGAACGGGGCUAGGAAAGCUUGCUUUCCGAUGCCUAGUGGCGGACGGGUGAGUAACGCGUGAGUAACCUGCCUUUCAGAGGGGAAUAACGUUCUGAAAAGAACGCUAAUACCGCAUAACGUACAGUUACCGCAUGGUAGCAGUACCAAAGGAGCAAUCCGCUGAGAGAUGGACUCGCGUCCGAUUAGCUAGUUGGUGGGGUAAAGGCCUACCAAGGCGACGAUCGGUAGCCGGACUGAGAGGUUGAACGGCCACAUUGGGACUGAGACACGGCCCAGACUCCUACGGGAGGCAGCAGUGGGGGAUAUUGCACAAUGGGGGAAACCCUGAUGCAGCAACGCCGCGUGUGGGAAGAAGGUUUUCGGAUUGUAAACCACUGUUCUUGGUGAAGAUAAUGACGGU